UACGUAGGGUGCAAGCGUUGUCCGGAAUUAUUGGGCGUAAAGGGCUCGUAGGCGGUCCAUCGCGUCGGGAGUGAAAAGCUGGGGCUUAACCCCAGUCCUGCUUCCGAUACGGGUGGACUAGAGGUAGGUAGGGGAGAUCGGAAUUCCUGGUGUAGCGGUGAAAUGCGUAGAUAUCGCUUGGAACGCCGACGGUGAAAACAGCUCGCUGGGGAUUCGCUGACGCUGAGACACGAAAGCCAGGGGAGCAAACGGG
Molecule: ribosomal RNA, 253 nt
Filed under: uncultured bacterium
Lineage: Bacteria
Description: partial 16S ribosomal RNA
Rfam family: Bacterial small subunit ribosomal RNA
Source: RNAcentral